GAUGAACGCUGGCGGCGUGCCUAAUACAUGCAAGUCGAGCGAACAGACGAGGAGCUUGCUCCUCUGACGUUAGCGGCGGACGGGUGAGUAACACGUGGAUAACCUACCUAUAAGACUGGGAUAACUUCGGGAAACCGGAGCUAAUACCGGAUAAUAUAUUGAACCGCAUGGUUCAAUAGUGAAAGACGGUUUUGCUGUCACUUAUAGAUGGGUCCGCGCCGCAUUAGCUAGUUGGUAAGGUAACGGCUUACCAAGGCAACGAUGCGUAGCCGACCUGAGAGGGUGAUCGGCCACACUGGAACUGAGACACGGUCCAGACUCCUACGGGAGGCAGCAGUAGGGAAUCUUCCGCAAAGGGCGAAAGCCUGACGGAGCAACGCCGCGUGAGUGAUGAAGGUCUUCGGAUCGUAAAACUCUGUUAUUAGGGAAGAACAAAUGUGUAAGUAACUAUGCACGUCUUGACGGUACCUAAUCAGAAAGCCACGGCUAACUACGUG
This 497-nucleotide ribosomal RNA is filed under the name uncultured bacterium. Its description in RNAcentral is "partial 16S ribosomal RNA". It matches the Rfam family "Bacterial small subunit ribosomal RNA", at positions 28 to 507 of the family's 1533-position model. The record is from RNAcentral.